GAGAGAAUUUGGGAACCUCUGUGCUAUAAGCAUGGAAAAUUGGGACUCAGGUAAAAAGGCUGGUUCCUGGUCGCACAGCUGGUCAUGGGCACUUUGGCAAAGGAGUGUGAGUUUUGGGGAAGCUCAAGGAAGAGGUACCAGGUAGAGAGAGGGCCAGGGCUGAGUUCACGGGCUCUUUCUAAAUGGAAAUGUCUCACAUUCAGCUGUUGUCUGCCUUUGAGUCACACAGAACCACUUGCAGGAAGAACUCUAGAGAAUUUGGGAAGAAAGGGGGAGAGGACAGACAAAAGAUGCAUUUUUCUUUCAAGAAGCAGGAAAAUGUAAGGAAAAUUGAAGGUGUUCUCAAGUGUGUCUGCUGCUGCCUGACACAGGUUAACCCCGUCGCAGGUCACUCCGCUCUGUUAAUUGCAUCCUAACCUUCCUCGGCUCUUCGGCAGCGAAAUCGCAGCAGAGGAGAUGGAGCAGCUUCGUGCGCAUUGCUCAUUUGCGCCAACGUGAAAAGAACUGCCAGGAUGCCCAGGACACCAGCUCCCUGGCUUCUGCGGUGCUUGCACAGUCCUGAAUCAGCCCGAGAGCUGUGGAUCUGCGUCCCCUGGCUGCAUAGCCGACUGCCGGCUCCAUGGAGGGGCCUGUGCCGGAGAACGCACAUGUUGACUUAUUUCUUCAGUCUAGGCCUUUCUUGGCCCCCUUGGUUAUUCAUUCUAGAUGAUACAACUCUUAUUUCAGUUCAAAUGUCUCACGGAAGAGGCAUUGAAGACAGAGUGGAUGCCCGUGUUUGUUGGCAGUAGGUAGUAUUUACCACUCCGGUUGUAGUAAAAGAACAAAAGGAGAAAUUACACCUAUUUCUCAUAUUUAAGGGAAAAGCAAUUAAAUCACCAAAGUCAGAUUCUCG
RNAcentral lists this long non-coding RNA (892 nucleotides) under Homo sapiens (human). RNAcentral's name for it is "non-protein coding LINC01114:10". Lineage: Eukaryota; Metazoa; Chordata; Mammalia; Primates; Hominidae. The record is from RNAcentral.